Molecule: ribosomal RNA, 309 nt
Filed under: Triticum aestivum (bread wheat)
Lineage: Eukaryota; Viridiplantae; Streptophyta; Magnoliopsida; Poales; Poaceae
Description: partial small subunit ribosomal RNA
Source: RNAcentral
AUGAAUAUGAUGCCACUCCUCAUAUGGCCUGUACUCUUUUCCCUGUUCUGGCUGAAAAGCUUUGGCAUUUAUGUGGCUGAAGGCGUGUCUGAUGUUAAUAGUGUGAUCCUUACAACUGAGCCCAAAUUACACAGCUGCAAGGAUCACAUUUACGGAGGUUGCCAGUAUAAUUUGUCAAGAUCGUCUUUGGAAAUUCUUAGAUUGUCACUGCAUGUCAAAAGUAUUAAUGUCCAUGUCUAUUGCUUCUUAGCAAUGAUCUGUGCUUUCCAUUUCCCUUUAUAUGACCUAAUGCACUGGGAACAGCCUUGA